UUCCGGUUGAUCCUGCCGGACCUUACUGCUAUCGGGAUGAGACUAAGCCAUGCAUGUCGAGCGCUCUUCAGCUAUGUAGAGAGCGCGGCGAACGGCUCAAUAACACGUAGUUAACCUACCCUCGGGAUGGGAAUAACCCCGGGAAACUGGGAUUAAUACCCACUAGAUGAUUAUACCUGGAAUGGCUUAUCAUCGAAAGAGUCUGGAAACAUGCUUCCAGCGUCGCCCGAGGAUGGGACCGCGUCCGAUCAGGUAGUUGGUGGGGUAAUGGCCUACCAAGCCUAUAACCGGUACGGGCCCUGAGAGGGGGAGCCCGGAGAUGGAAACUGAGAAAAGGUUCCAGGCCCUACGGGGUGCAGCAGGCGCGAAACCUCCACAAUGCGCGAAAGCGUGAUGGGGUUAUCCCGAGUGCCGUCCGAUGAGGAUGGCUUUUUAUCGAUGUAAGGAUUCGAUAGAAUAAAGGGGGGGCAAGACUGGUGUCAGCCGCCGCGGUAAUACCAGCCCCCUGAGUGGUAAGGACGAUUAUUUGGCCUAAAGCGUUCGUAGCCGGCUUAUCAAGUCUUUUGUUAAAUCCAACGAUUUAAUCGUUGGGCCGCAAAAGAUACUGUUAUGCUAGAGGACGGGAGAGGUCGACGGUAGUCCAGGGGUAGGGGUGAAAUCCUAUAAUCCUUGGAGGACCACCAGUGGCGAAGGCGGUCGACUAGAACGUGCCUGACGGUGAGGGACGAAAGCUGGGGGAGCGAACCGGAUUAGAUACCCGGGUAGUCCCAGCUGUAAACGAUGCGGGCUAGGUGUUGGGGCAGCCACGAGCUGCUCCAGUGCCGCAGAGAAGUUGUUAAGCCCGCCGCCUGGGGAGUACGGCCGCAAGGCUGAAACUUAAAGGAAUUGGCGGGGGAGCACCACAAGGGGUGAAGGCUGCGGUUUAAUUGGACUCAACGCCGGA
RNAcentral lists this ribosomal RNA (943 nucleotides) under uncultured archaeon. RNAcentral describes it as "bacterial SSU rRNA". It matches the Rfam family "Archaeal small subunit ribosomal RNA", at positions 1 to 922 of the family's 1478-position model. The record is from RNAcentral.